RNAcentral lists this ribosomal RNA (103 nucleotides) under Sinocyclocheilus grahami. The record is from RNAcentral. Lineage: Eukaryota; Metazoa; Chordata; Actinopteri; Cypriniformes; Cyprinidae.
AUUAAUAAAUCAUAUCAGCCCAAGACUGGUUGCCCACUGAAGCUAAGCAGGGUUGAGCCUGGUCAGUACCUGGACAUCCUGGGAAAACCUGGUGCUGUUAGUG